Molecule: ribosomal RNA, 433 nt
Filed under: uncultured bacterium
Lineage: Bacteria
Description: partial 16S ribosomal RNA
Rfam family: Bacterial small subunit ribosomal RNA
Source: RNAcentral
AACGAACGCUGGCGGCAUGCCUAACACAUGCAAGUCGAACGAGACCUUCGGGUCUAGUGGCGCACGGGUGCGUCACGCGUGGGAACAUGCCCUUAGGUUCGGAAUAACUCUCCGAAAGGGGUGCUAAUACCGGAUCAUGUCUUCGGACCAAAGAUUUAUUGCCUUUGGAUGGGCACGCGUUGGAUUAGCUAGUUGGUAGGGUAAAAGCCUACCAAGGCGUCGAUCCAUAGCUGGUCUGAGAGAAUGGUCAGCCACACUGGGACUGAGACACGGCCCAGACUCCUACGGGAGGCAGCAGUGGGGAAUAGUGGACCAUGGGCGAAGGGAUGAUGCAGCAAUGCCGCGUGAGUGAUGAAGGCCUGAGGGUUGUAAAGCUCUUUUAACCGGGAUGAUAAUGACAGUACCGGGAGAAUAAGCUCCGGCUAACUCCGUG